ACCCGCUGAAUUUAAGCAUAUCAUUAAGCGGAGGAAAAGAAACUAACAAGGAUGUCCUUAGUAGUGGCGAAUGAAUAGGACAAAGCUCAAAUUUAAAAUCAGACCUACGUUAGUAGGUAUUGAAUUGUAGUUUUUUGAUUGGGUAUCACUGGCAGCGUCGUUGGGAUGUAAAUCUCUUGGAAUAGUGUAUCAUAGAGGGUGAGAAUCCCGUAUACAAUUUCAAUAGCGCGUCAACUGUGUUACCUUUUCAAUGAGUCGGGUUGUUUGGGAUUGCAGCUCUAAAUAGGUGGUAGAUUUCAUCUAAAGCUAAAUAUUUCGGAGAGACCGAUAGCGAAAAAGUACUGUGAAGGAAAGGUGAAAAGAACUUUGAAAAGAAGGUUAAAAGUACUUGAAAUUGUUAAAAGGGAACCGAAUGGAAUUAGUGAUCAUUUGCUUGUGAUUCAGUGUCUAAUUGAAGUGUAUAUUAUUCAGGGGAGUGUUAAAGCCUCCUGUUUUUUAUAUACCAUUUUAGAUGUGCACUUCACUUGUUUAAUGAGUCAACAUGAAUUCAUCUUGUUAGAGAAAGGUAAUAUGAAAUGUAGGUGCUCCUGUUUAUAAUAGGUAGGUACUGUUAUAUUCUUUUACUAUUAUAACUUGAUGGAUUGAGGUACAAAACACGGUUUGAUGUAUAUCUUACCAACCUUGCUCAAGUAACCUGAUUAUUUAAUAGUUUACUAACUGCUCAGCAGUAGUUUCUUAUUAAUCUUUUAAUUGGAACUUGUUUAAGGAUCUUUGUGUUAGGGAAUGUUGACAAAAUGGUUUUAUUUGACCCGUCUUGAAACACGGACCAAGGAGUCUAACAUGUGUGCGAAUAUUUGAGUGAUAAACUCAUAUAUGAAAUGAAAGUGAGAUAUAGGAUGUCCGUAUGGAUUGCACUAUAAACCGUUUCGACUUCGUGUUGGAUUGAGUUAUAGUAUAUAUGUUAGGACCCGAAAGAUGGUGAACUAUGCGUGUACAGGGUGAAGUCAGGGGAAACUCUGAUGGAGGCUCGAAGCAAUACUGACGUGCAAAUCGUUUGUCUGAUAUGCGUAUAGGGGCGAAAGACUAAUCGAACCAUCUAGUAGCUGGUUUCCUCCGAAAUUUCCCUCAGGAUAGCUGAAGCUCGUAAAUAGUUUUAUCAGGUAAAGCGAAUGAUUAGAGGUACUAGGGUUGAAAUAACCUUAACCUAUUCUCAAACUUUAAAUAGGUAAGAAGCUCCUCUUUGCUUAAUUGAAAAGGAGAUUUGAAUAGAGAGCUUUAAGUGGGCCAUUUUUGGUAAGCAGAACUGGCGAUGCGGGAUGAACCGAACGUUAAGUUAAAGUGCCAAAAUAUACGCUCAUUUAGAUACCAUAAAAGGUGUUGAUUCAUUCAGACAGCAGGGCGGUGGUCAUGGAAGUUGAAAUCCGCUAAGAAGUGUGUAACAACUUACCUGCCGAAUGAAUCAGCCCUGAAAAUGGAUGGCGCUAAAGCGUAUUACUUAUACUUAACCAUUAUGAUAAAAUAUUAAAUCAUGAUGAGUAGGAGGACGUGGGGGUUGUGACGAAGCUUACCUUGUAAGAGGGAGUGAAACAGCCUCUAGUGCAGAUCUUGGUGGUAG
This 1615-nucleotide ribosomal RNA is filed under the name Paraflabellula hoguae. Its description in RNAcentral is "eukaryotic LSU rRNA". It matches the Rfam family "Eukaryotic large subunit ribosomal RNA", at positions 23 to 1460 of the family's 3401-position model. The record is from RNAcentral. Lineage: Eukaryota; Tubulinea; Elardia; Leptomyxida; Flabellulidae.